UACGCCUUCAUGAAGCCGGAAUUGCUAGUAAUGGCAGGCCAGCAUACUGCCGUGAAUACGUUCCCGGGCCUUGUACACACCGCCCGUCACACCAUGAGAGUUAGGAAUACCCGAAGCCUGUGAGCUAACAUUAAGAGGCAGCAGUCGAAGGUAGAAUCAAUGAUUGGGGUGAAGUCGUAACAAGGUAGC
Molecule: ribosomal RNA, 189 nt
Filed under: uncultured bacterium
Lineage: Bacteria
Description: partial 16S ribosomal RNA
Rfam family: Bacterial small subunit ribosomal RNA
Source: RNAcentral